Molecule: long non-coding RNA, 12649 nt
Filed under: Citrus maxima (pomelo)
Lineage: Eukaryota; Viridiplantae; Streptophyta; Magnoliopsida; Sapindales; Rutaceae
Description: long non-coding RNA (CMAX_LNC002067)
Source: RNAcentral
UAACAACUAAUAAUACCUUUUUCUCAAAGGUUUUGACUCCUGGGAUGGUAUUCUUAAUUCCUAGAGCAAUGAUUCACUUCCAACUAAAUGUUGGAAAAGGGCCGGCCACAUUUAUACCUAUUUUCAAUACUCAAAAUCCUGGCGUUUCGGACUCACUCACUACUCUCUUUGAUACAACACCCCCAAUUCCCAAUAAAGUGUUGACCAAAUCUUUCCGAGUCAGUAAUGAUGUGAUUAAUGUGAUCAGAGCAGCCCGGGCAUCAAAUUAAUUAGUAAUCGAUCUAGCGAGGUAGCAUCCUCGAUGCUUGAUCGGUACCCUUUCUAUUGUCUCAAAGUAAUUAAUAAGAUUUAUUUUAUGCAAUUGUUAUUGAAUAAAAGCUGAGACAACCAAAUAAUUGAUUAAUAAAGUUUUUAAAUUUUUAAAUUUCUUUACUUUUUCAUGUAUUGUGUGAAUAAAGUUUGAAAAUUGCGUAUACAUUUAAAUAUAGAUAAGAUCAAAAUACACCUCUGAGUUGUUUGAUUCUCAUAAAAUGCAGAAAUGUAAAAAAUUGAUAAUUAAGAGAAAUUAAGUUUAUAAAUAAUGAAACUUUAUUUUUAAAAAAAUCUGAAUGAAUAACAUAGUGUUUUUGGACAUUUUUAUAGUAACUCUAAAUAUCACGAAUUUAUCAAAAUAAACAAAUUAGAAAAAAAAAAAGAUAGGAAUCUUGAAUGUAGUUGAAAAAACUAGAAAAUAAUUAAAAAUCACAAAACGAACAAAAAAGAAACUGAAUUUUUUGCUUACCACGGAGUAAAAUGGUGUAAGCAUUCUGGAUUUGGUACGUCUCGUCGUAAGUUUCAGAAUGCUAUAUUAUACAUCCAAGACUAGCGCACUUAACUCAAGAUGCUAUAUUAUACAUCCAAGACUAGCGCACGUAACUCAAUUUAUUUAUAACUAGUGGAAAGUACCCUGCUGGUUCCACACAACUAUUUUAAGUUAUGAACACCAAAAGAUACUGGUCCUGCGAACCAUGCUACAUCAAGUACCAUUUCUAAUUGGAAUGCUACGCAUAUUGGAGAAAGUGUUCAAAAGUUUGAGUUUUGCAACAAUACGGGAAGCAUUACAGAUACGCUCAAGAAUGUUUUUACAAUCUCAAAAGUCUCCUGGUUGAUAUGAUGUCCAUUUCUUUUGUUGAUGUGGAUGCUAACCGAGAGACUGUCAGAGUUUUUUCAAAUACAAUUGUCCAUUGCUUAGAAGAUUUAAGUGCGAGGAGAUCUGACUUAAACAUCAAUCCGAUUGACGUACCUAGAGAUUGAUAGUUGCAAUUCAAUUGAAGAAAUUGAAAUUUCUGCCCAAAAAUCUUUUGUCACAUAACUAUCGUGGAUUGGAAAUCAAGUUCAGGAUUGACAAUGCUCCCUUGCUUUUUGAUGUAUCACCUGGUAGGACAGUUGAUGGUCAGUUGAGAAAUCUUAUUAAUCCUUUCAGAAACUUUCUCCCACAGCUCGAGAAUCUGUAAUUAAACUUAACGGAGCCGGUUUGUAAUUUAAUAUUUUAAGCCAAUUGUCACAUUCAUAAGUACCAAGUGAAUUGCAACAAUUUAUGGAAAUGGGUGGGAAGCGUUAUAAUUUGCUCAAGAAUGUUUAACAAUCUUUAAAGUCCCCUGGUUUAUCUAACAACAUCAAGUCUUUGAAGUCUAUUUCUUUUGUCGAUGUGGAUGAUAACAGAUAGGUAGCUAGGUAACUUUAAAACUAAUAACAGAAAGAAAAAUUGAAUCUGAAGUGGAAAAUAGUCCUUCUCAGCUUGUCUGCUCCACAGAUAAUAAGCAGCAUAAAUCCACUGUGGAUGCACCAAAAACUUGUUGUGUUGCUCCGCCAACCGACGACCUUUUAUUCCUGGCCUUGAUGAGACGGAGACCACUUGUGCCACCGACAAGUUGUACACAUCCGUACAUGCAGCACCCAACUCGCCAGCCCUCCAUUUGAGUAAUGGAAAUUCAAAUUCCUUAUCAUCAACAUCCCUGCUAAAGAACAAUGUGCAACUUGCAAGAAUCUGCCUCCGAAUUUUCCCCAAGAAACACCUAACAUCUCCGCAAACCGGAUUCUCAAAAAACAACCCAUGAACUGUUUUCAGAACUCGAAGAACAUUCACAAGUGCCCCAUUCAACUCGUUCUCAUCAGUGUUCCUCUCAGAAAAGGAUUUCUGACGAAUAUUAUUCUUCUUAUUUCUUCUCUCUUUAAAAUAAUUAUAGCUCCCCACCAACAUGAGAUGCUCUUUAUGAUCCUUCCAAACCUUCUCCGUGUCAUCAACGAUGACGACACCCCAUUCUUGUCCCAGCACCAAAUCACCUCUCUUCUUUCCCUUUUCUUUAAAAUCUUCGCGUGUUAUCAAUCUUGACCUGAUGUGGUACUCACACUUAAGAUCAAGCAAUUUAGCCAUCAUCACUGCGUAGGAUCGAAUCCCCGUGGUACAUAAAUAAAUGUCAUACAUCUUGCUCGCUUCUUUGAGAAAUUUUCGGAUGUAAGGCCUUACCUUGACCAAAAACAACUCACCAUAAGGCCGUAACUUGACCAAAAACAACUCACCAGCCAUCUUAAACAGGUCACCGUCUGAUGAAGAACUCCCUAGUUUCAUCAAAUAUUCACGAUCUUUGGAAGCUAAAAUGUCGAUGUCUACUGCAUGCAGCAAGGUAUGAUCUAAGUCCAGCACUAAGUGGAGUUUCUUCUGCCGAUACACCAUCUCCGAGUUCAUUUUUUUCCAAAGAGUAACUUUGUCUCUGCUAAUUAAGCUUUAAACCCUCGACUAAGAAGUUAAAUGAUAAGCCAUAUCCCUUUGCUAUUGUUCGUGCACAAGAUAAGCACACUCCAUGGUAAACUACGGGAUGUGAACGAGGACUGAAUAUGCAUACUGAGAUUAAUUUGGUAAGUGCAAUAGAAUUUAUGAAUAAAGUUUAUUAUGUAGCGCGCGUAAGUGCAAUAGAAUUUAUGAAUAAAGUUUAUUAUGUAGCGCGCGCGCGCGCACAUACAUACAUAUAUAUAUACAUAUAUAUAUAUAUAUAUAUAUAUAUAUAUAUAUAUAUAUAUAUAUAUAUAUAUAGAUAAAACUACUUUUCCUUUAAAGGUUAGGAUUCCCUAUUCCAUCUCAUAUCCACUUUUCCUUUAAAUGUUAGGAUUCCUAUUUCAUUAGCUAUUGUUUUGCAAAUAACUACUCGUUUAUUAUGUAUGGGUAGGCCUGGAAUACAGCGUUGUAUGUGAUACAACGCUAAUGUUCACGUAGCACCCUUACUUUUAACUGAAUUUCAAAAUAAUCAAUUCAAAUUAGAAAACUAUUAAAGAUCCCCUUUAACUUUGCAAUGAAAAAUAUGCUUAAAUUAUGUAAUUUCUAAGCUAAUGAGAAUAAUAUUUAUAUUAAAAUAAAUAAAAAAUUUAUUAUAUUAUAUUAAUAUGACAUUAUAAGUUUUUUUAUUAAAAAAUAUUUAAAACAUUUUUUGUUAAUUGUAUAAUAUUACAAUGCAGUUCAAAUGUAGCUAAAUCAUAUUACCCCUAAAUAUUUGAAAGGGAAAAAACCCAUAAUGCCCAUUAAGGAAAUCCCUACUUGCCAAUAUCGAAAGUAAAAUAAUUUUCCAUCCAACCGUUGGAUAGUUCUCAAAUAAAUAUAUUAUUGAUAAUACCAAGCUACAUAAUUCCCAAUAAAAUAUUAUUAGUACUACCAACUAAUAUUAAAAGUACAAUUAGAUCACAUUAUAAGGACACCGUGAAACAUCUAAAUAUUAGAAUAAUAGUCACGAAUAAUCUUAUGUAAAUUAUUUCAUGCAACUUUAUGUGAAAUUAAGUAAAUUAUUCUAUAUAGCAAUACCAUAUUUAUUCCUUUGUGCUAUAUUAUUUAUACGUUUAAAUUUAUCACUAUUUUCAAGCCACAAUAAUUUCUAUAAAUAGUUGUAAUGGACAUUUAUAUAUGUAAUGUUAAUAUUUGAUCUUAAUUUAUUAGUGUUAUCAUGAUUAAUGAAAUUAUAACACAACUUUAUUAUUGACGUUAUUAACAGCUAUCAUUGUUAGGGCCAGUUUGGUAAUGCUGCAGCUUUUAAAAUAAUUACUGUUAGCUGUGCUGUAGAAAUAAUCAGCUGUGAAGAGAAUCAGUUAAGUGUUUGGUAAAUUUUAUUUUUAAAAGUACUGUGAAUUUUGAAAGCAGUUAUGGGUGUUUGGUAAAUCUUAUUGUUAAACUGCUGUAAGAAAAUAAAUGACUAAAAUGUACAUAAUGUAGGAUGAAAUUUACUUAUACAUAUAAAAAUAUACACGUACAAUAUUAUAAUAAAAAUUGCAUAGGCAUAGAAUUGUUUAUAUAUAAACAAACCCAAAUAAGACAAACAACAAAUAUUAUAAUAAAAAAUACAUUGAAUAUGCAUGAAAAGGGUGAUGAAUCACUUACUGUUAUUGAAUAUGGUUAUGGAACACAUACUGGAUCUUGCUUUGUUGCACUAGAGAAGUUUUGAUAGAACACAAAAUAUGAAGAAAUAGGGUAAACGAAAGGUGUGUGUUAAUUAUAAUAAAAAAUUAUUAAAAUAUUGAUUUUAUUUCCAAUUUAAAUAAGGAUAAUUUCGGGUUUAAGUAAUAAUUGUAAGGAUAUUUAUGGAAUUAUAUUAAAGGAUAAAAUUGAUUCUCAAAAUCAAAAUCUAAAAGUUACUCCUUCCCUGCUUUUCAAAAUCAGCUGUAGGAGGAGCUGAUUCUGGCAAAAGUAAUUUUGAUUUUUUUUUACCAAACACCAAAAUUAGCUUUUAGAUUUUUAAAAUCACUUUUAACCCUCUCAAAAGCAAUCCCAAACGGGGCCUUAGCCAUUACUAUCAUUAUUAUUAUUAGAGUUGGGAGUUGCUAGAGUCAAAUUCUAUUACGUAACUAGCAAUAUAAUAUUGAUAAUUAUAAAUUCACAAUAACUGAAUUUGAGUAAUAUCCAUAUUAAAGAAAAAAGAACAUUGAAUAAUUUUUUUUUUUCAUAUUUUACAAUCAUAUAAUCUAGACAUGAUAAUUAUAUUUUUAGAUUUAUACCAAAUUAAUUUGUGUAAUAACGCGCAACGGAGGUAGUUACAUGAAAUAUAUAUACUAAUUGAUGUGCAAUUCAUUCAUAGGCAUUAUAAAGUUCAUUCACUAUUAAUACAUAAUAAAUCAAUUGUCAUUGAAAUGUAACUGUUUAAGAAUUAGUAUUAUGAACAGAAAUUUAUUGUUAAUAAUGAAAUAAAAUAAAAUAAAAUGACUCUUUUUUCUUGGGAUAAGGAGUCAUUUUUUAUUUAGGCGGCGAAACUACCGCCAUAAUGAAAUAUUUUUCAAACCUAUUUUUUUAACUAAAAAUAUAAAUACUUCGUAUUUUUCUACUUCAAAAACCCUAGCCACUCUAUCGAUUCAUCCCUCACACUGACACAUACAAUACGAUCACCAACCACGAGAGCAGCCACCCCCGGAUGUCGUUGUUACCAAUACCCAAUACCCAGUUCAGGUAAUCAUUCAAAUAAAAUUUCAUUUUGUUGUUCACUAUCAACUAAUUCAGAUGAAAUCCUACACCUACCAGAAGGCCUUCAAUUUGUACCCAUUAAUAUGAAGAAAAGUUUUGAUAUCAUUGCCAUAUUUAUGAUCAUUCUGGUGACUUGUACAUCUCAAGUAUCAUUUGCUUAAAUAAUACCAAUGUUUAGUUGAAAAUGCUAGUCUAUGAUGACUCUUCAGGAGAAUCUAAUGAUCUUAACAAAGCGGGGUUUAUAAUUCUUGUCGAAUGUUAUCCAGUAUAAAUAAAUGAUGUAUAACUAUUUGUUUGGUGUACAAUUAUUUGUGAUGAAUAAUGAUGUACACAAAUACAAUAUACGACUGCUUCUUUACAUUUCUUCACAGAUUCAUUACUGAACAACCAAAUUAACAGCCGCUGUCACUACAUUAACACACUCGCUUAAGUUUUUUCAGAGAAGGUAUUUUCCGAUGCUGACUCCAUAUUUCUACUGUCUGUGAUAUUGAAUGACUUUUCAUGGGGUCUGUUAAUUUUUAAUUUAAUUUUCCAUCCGUUGGAUGCGAAUAUUAAUUUAUGAAUGAUGAUCUAGUCUUGCGGCAACUUCCGCACGAAAUUCUUGUUGAAAUUAUCAGUCGGUCAAGUCUAACGGAAUCUGCAGGCUCUUGGUAAACGUUUACGAAUUCAUCAUUAGCUUGACCUAGUUCUCCUGUAAAGCGUAUUUAAUUAAUUUCAAACCUUUUUCUAGUAGCUACAUAUAAAAGGCUACAGUUUAUAUCCCAGAAUCAGAUAGCCAAAAACAGCAAGAAAUAACUUCUACGACGUCGCAUUCAUUCAAAAAAAAAAAAAUUAUGCCGCGUCUAUAAGUUUUUUUUUUUUUUUUUAAUCGCCAUGUCAAAUUAAAGGCAGCUUGAAUCUUUAUUAACACAAAGAAUUUACAAAGUCAGAAAAGCCAUCUAACGAUCUCGUCCUGAUUCUGAUCCUACAAUUUGCCAUUAUUUUACUAAAUUCAAAGUAAUGUUAAUCACGCUUUCAGACUCCAAGAGUAGUAUAAAUAGAUCUAUCAUCUUCCUUUCAAUCCACCAACGCAAAAGGACCCACAGCUAUUAAUUGAUCCUACUCACAGUUAGCCAUGUAUUCUUCAUCAGCGUCACUCUUUGGGCUGCUAUGCGGCCUGAUAGUGUUAUUGAUUCUCCCUUUCCGUUCCCAUGCAAGUGACCCUGAUCCUUUACAAGACAUCUGUAUUGCGGAUUUGAAUGCUCCCAUCUCUAUCAAUGGUUUCCCCUGCAAACCUGCUUCAGAAGUAACUUCGGAUGAUUUCUUCACAGAUUUUUCCAAAAAUCCGACCACAUUUGAUGUCUUUAAGCGUGCAGUUACACUUGGUGAUGUUUCUGGAUUUCCAGCAGUCAAUACUCAAGGAGUUUCACUCUUCCGAAUUGACCUGGAUGUAGGUGGAAUAAACCCACCUCAUACUCAUCCUCGUGGAACUGAGGCUGGCAUUGUUACUCUUGGAAAGGUGCUUGUUGGGUUAGUAACAACUAAUAAUACCUUUUUCUCAAAGGUUUUGACUCCCGGGAUGGUGUUCUUAAUUCCCAGAGCACUGAUUCACUUCCAGCUAAAUGUUGGAAAGGGGCCGGCCACCUUUAUACCUAUUUUCAAUACUCAAAAUCCUGGCGUUUCGGACUCACUCACUACUCUUUUUGAUACAACACCCCCAAUUCCCAAUGAAGUGCUGACCAAAUCUCUUCGAGUAAGUGAUGAUGUGAUAAAUGCCAUCAGAAAAGCCCGGACAUCAAACUAGUAAUCGGUCCAGCUAGGUUAACAUCCUGGAUGCUUGAUCAAUAUGCUUUAGUGUGCCAACAUAUAUAUACUAAUAAAUGCGAUUUAUUUUAUGUUACAAUUAUUGAAUAAAGAAUAAAGUCCAGACGACCAAUAAUUAUUGAAGUAAGGAAAGCGAGAUUUUUUUUUUCUCAUUUCUUCUUCUUUUACUUUUGAUUUUUCCAUGGCAUUAUCUAUGCAAUUUGUUGCUUCCAUCGGCCUCGUUCAUUGGUAUUUCCUUGUAGGCUUCAAUAAUCUUUUAUAAUCCGAAUUUCAUUCCUGUAAUUCCAGCCCUCAAUAUCCAUUAAUGGUACCCGUGCAAUAAUUAUUGAAUAAAAAAUGCCUAAUACUUAUUAAUUUUUUUGUCUUGUUAAUUUUUUUUCAUGGGUCAUUCUAUUUGAUAUAUACCGCGAUAAAAUAAUUCGAUAAAUAUGUCAAAAAUAAAAUUACUGGUUAAAUAGAAAACAUACUGAAAUCAAACCCGUUCAUUGCUUUAUUAUUUUUUUGUUCUCCCUAUUCAACCGAACCAAUUGAAAUUGAUAGUGACGAUUACGUGGAAUAUUUGGGGGGCACGAAAUAAGCUAUUAUUCAGAAGGCAAUUUAGUUCACCACAAGCCAUCUAUGCACGGGCUCAAAGAAUUUUCGAAUCUUUUGGGAGUUGUGGUGUGGCUAUUCUUGAUUCUAAUUUGAGUAGUGUCGUGUUGGGGAUGAUAGUGUUGUGCGGGAGUUGACACUAGUAGGUUGGCUGAAAUUAAGUGUAGACGCAGCAGUUGAUCUAACUCGGGGUGCAGUGGGUUACGGUGCCGUUGUGCCAAAUCAUGAAGGUUUGGUGAUGGCUACGGGAACUUUUCAUGUGGUUUUUUCUGAUGAGGUUGAUAUCACUGAGGCAGAAUCCUUGCGCUUUGGUUUACAGUUCGCUAGUGCAGCUGGUUUAUUUUGUUAACAGUUGCAGUCAAAUUUGCUUCAAGUCAUAGAACUAUUUUAGAUAUUUUCUGAGGUGCUUUGAAUUAUUUCUGAGCUGAAGCAAUUGCAAUUACCAAAGCAUUCUUUUUGGGUACGCCAUAUCCCAAGGGUUUGCAAAUGCAUUAGCUAAAUAUUCUAUGUAGUUUUUUAUUCUUAUAUUUGGUGGGAAGAUUUUCCACCACAUUUAAAUUGCUAACUUUGAGUGUAUUAUGAUUCUGAUUCUAAUAAAGUUUUUAUCUCACCAACCCCCCAAAAAAAAUUGACAUAAUAAAAAUAAUGAAUAACUUAUUUAGGCCUCCGUUUGAUAUAACUUUUCAAGUAAAACUUAUUUAAAUAGAGCUUUUAUUAAAAAAAAUUUAGUUGUUUAAUUGUCAAUAAAAACUUUUAUUAAAAAUUUAUGAAAUUACUUUAAUAGACAAGUUUUUUAAAGUUAUGUCAUGAAAAAAAUAAAAUAAGAUUGUCAAAUAAGUAGAGGAUAUUUUAGAUAUUUUCUCUUAAAGCCUAAAAUUUGAGCUUUUGUUAAUAGAGGUAAAAUAGAUUAUUUAAACUUCAAAAGUUCUAUUAGAAAAACAACCAAACAACAACAAAAAUUAUUAUAAGAGCUUAUGAGAUUAAAUAAGCACUUAUGUAACCAAAGUUGGUUGGUGUGAGUGGUUCGGCACUCUCAUUCCUUAAGAGAGGUCAAGGGUUCAAGCUCCGCUCUCGAAUGGAGUCACCACUUUGGCCAGCACUUUACUCCUUACGGGCCGACCCGGUGCGAGCAGGGAUUAGUUUGGGUUGUGGUACGCGCUUAAAGGUGCCUCCCGCAAUUGGGGCCCAUUCAGGAUCACCUUGUCGUUCAGACCAAAAAAAAAAAAAAAGCACUUAUGACAAUUGAAUAAGUCAUACCAAAUAAUCACAUAGUACUUAUUUAUUAUUGAUUGCAAUUUUUUUUAAAAGGAAAUUUAAGUUUCUAAAAUUAGAUUUUAAUUUUUAUAUUCUAUUUUUGCAUCUAUAACGUACUUUUUGUUCAUGUAUGUAUGUGAUACAAAUACUCUGAAUUUAUUACGAUACAUUCCUCAUUCUUGAAAACGUAGUAGUACCCUAAAGCUUACAAAGGAAAGAAAUUGGUAUCAACCUUUUAGGAACCUUAAAAUUUUUAUAAACUGAUUAUCCUUUACCUCUAAUUUGAGUUGAAAAACAAAUUAAAUCGUUUUUCUAUAUUGAUUUUGGUUUUGCAGUUGCACUUUAUUUUAUCCGUAGAACAUGGAUGAAGGAAUCAUAUCAUGAACUCCAAAUUUACACAACAAUUGAUGCUCUUGUAACCCAUUCCCAAUUUAUUUGAUGCUCUUUUAACUCAAUUUAUUUGAUAAAAAAAUUAAUAUUUUUAUUUAAAUUAUUUUUAAAAAAUUACGAUUAGUAAACAUUAUUAACUUUUGUAUUAUAGCUAGUUCUUUUUGACUUUCCAACAAUACCAAACAAAGCCUUCCACAGGCAUACAUUGUAGCUAAAACAUCACAAAAUCUUAUUCCAUAAUUUUUGCUAAAAUAGUGUUUAGGUAAAUUUUUUUAAAAAUAACUCAUUUCAUAAUUUUCUCUAUUUUGACAACAACAUAAUAGAAUUUUUUAAAAAUAGUUAUAAAAUAAUUUCCUAUAUAAAUUAAAAAUUAUUUUUUAAAACUUUAUGUAAUAAUCUUAUUAUUUCAAUAAAAAGGUAGUCAUCUCCUAUUUUUUUCCUUCAGCCUUUUUUUUCAUUUUAUGUAAAUUUGGGUGUUCCAAAAAUGAAACAAAAAUGUGUUUAGACAACAUAAGCUUAUGUAUAUAUUUUGGUAGUUACACAAUGAAACUCACAGUGCUCCUAGUAAUAAAGUUUACUAACACCUAAUUACUUUUUUGUGUAGUUGAUUAUUUUAUAAGCACGCGAAAUCGAUUCCGUCUUCUUCUCGUCCAACUUAGUUAAUCUAACAAAUUACUAAAGAGGAUGCAACUUUGACACUGAAUUUCAAUACCAAACAUAUAUUCUCUCUUCAACAGAAUCAUUAAGGCAUUUCAAACGCUUGGCAAGCAAGGCUAGCUUGUGCUACCAAAGAUACAUUUUGGAAUAGCUUCAAGAUAUUAAUAUUCUGUUACAUGAAUUAAAUUUGGUGUUAUGUUGAUGAUUGAGAAUAGAAGGAACUCGCGCCGAUUUGUAAUGUAUUCACGAAAUGUUGCUUGCACGUCUCAAUAAAUCCAUUUUUAAAAAAAAAUAUAUAUAUAUGAAUUGAUUUAUAGUUGGUGCAACAGGUUAUGCAGUCAAUGAAUACAUAUGUUAUUCACGUUCGCAAGCAUUAGAUUAACUUUGUUAAUGACUCUGGAAUGUAUUAAGAAAUCUAAAAUUGUUUGAUGAUAUACGUUUAUCUAAAAGGAAUUAAGGAAAGGGUCAAGUUUGGCGGUUGAAUAGCUCGGGAUCAACGGCCAUGUCAAAGUUAAUUAAUAAACCCAAGCAUAUUCUGCUGAUCACAAUUAAUGGAAGGGAUCGAUUGGCUAUCACACUACUCCGCAGUUGACAUUGAAGUUUGUCAUUGAAGUAUGUCUUCUUCAAACAUUCCCGCGGAAGGUUGCGUGUCAAUAUUUGACCACUAUGAAAUUACCGCGUAUUCAUUGACUACUUCACAUCUCAUUAUUGAAUGUUGUAGGAUGGUUGCAUAGGAUGAGUAGAGUAUUUUCCGGAGGUCAUAAUUUAGUUACAUGUGUCCAUUUUGGGGGGUCAUAAUUUAGAUAUUCGAUUUCUUUUAUGAUUGUUUUGCUGUUUGAAGUUAUUUUCUUAUUUUUCCCGUUACUUCCAAAUUUUUAUUUUUAUUUUUAUUUUUUUUAGAUGUCGGAUUUAGGCGUUGUUUGUUUUGUUGUCCUUAUUUAAAUUAUAAGAAUUUUAUUAUAAAAUAAUAUUUUAGAUUUACCUAUUUUAGUAAAUUCGCGAUAUUUAGAGUUAUUAUCAAAGGGCCCCAAAACCCCUAAUUUUGUCCAUUCACACUUUUGCAAUAAAAUAUUCAUUAUUUAGAAACCUAGUUUCUUUUUCAAUCCAACUUGUAUGCAUCAUCAACUUAAGUUUUAAAUUGCUUUUGAUUCAUUAGGAAGGAAAUCAACUUUCUAUGAUUAAUCUAUUAAAUGAAUUUUGUGUUUAACAUAUACACUCUUAAACAAUAAGGUGAACACUUUUCCAUUCCUGAUUAUAUUGACAAAAAUAUAUCAUUCUAAUUCCAAAAUUAUAUAUAUAUAUAGCGCCAUUAAAAUUAAGUUACUUAACUCUAUAUUUAUAUAUGGAAAUUUUUCAAUGAAGGUUCCAGCACUUUAAUGAAGUACAAGAAAAUUAUUAUGCCAUAUAGUAUGAUAGCGUAAUCCUCACUAAAAAAGAAUUAUUUAUAUACAUAUAUAUAUAUAGAAUUUUUCCAUUGAUUAAAGUGUAAAAACUCUCAUCAGAUAAAACACUAUAAGCUAUCCCUUUGUCACUAAGCCAAAACAACAAGACAUUAUUCUGGUUCAUUAUCAUUCACGGUUGCAAUGCCCAGGUGAUAUCAUGUACCAAUUUAAAAAUAUUCGACACGCUUUAUAUCCAAAAGUCAAAAAGUCAAUAAGCCUUAUCGAUGGCCAAUUCUUUGGCAUUAAUAUUUUAGUAAAGUCAAAAAGUCAAUAAGCCUCAUCUGCUUAAUCUUUGGUUAAUCACGCUUUGAGAUUCCAAGGAGUAGUAUAAAUAGAUCCAUCACCUUCCAUCCAAUCCACCAACACAAAAAGACCUGCAGACAUUAAUUGUGUAAUUUAGAUCUUAACAGCAGCCAGCCAUGUAUUCUUCUUCAUCAGUGUCACUCUUCGGGCUGCUAUGCGGCUUGGUAGUGUUACUGAUUCUCCCUUUCUCUUCCCGUGCAAGUGACCCUGAUCCAUUACAAGACGUCUGUAUUGCGGAUUUGAAUGCCCCCAUCUCUAUCAAUGGUUUCCCCUGCAAACCUGAUUCAGAAGUAACUUCUGAUGAUUUCUUCACGGAUUUUUCUAAAAAUCCGACCACUUUUGAUGUCUUUAAGCGUGCAGUUACGCUUGGUGAUGUUUCUGGCCUUCCAGCGGUCAAUACUCAAGGAGUUUCACUCUUCCGAAUUGACCUGGAUGUCGGUGGAAUAAACCCGCCUCAUACACAUCCUCGUGGAACUGAGGCUGGCAUUGUUACUCGAGGAAAGGUGCUCGUAGGUUUAGUAACAACUAAUAAUACCUUUUUCUCAAAGGUUUUGACUCCCGGGAUGGUGUUCUUAAUUCCCAGAGCGCUGAUUCACUUCCAGCUGAAUGUUGGAAAGGGGCCGGCCACCUUUAUACCUAUUUUCAAUACUCAAAAUCCUGGCGUUUCGGACUCACUCACUACUCUUUUUGAUACAACACCCCCAAUUCCCAAUAAAGUGUUGACGAAAUCUUUCCG